Hippoglossus stenolepis (Pacific halibut) is the source of this 197-nucleotide small nuclear RNA. RefSeq annotates it as U2 spliceosomal RNA. NCBI's taxonomy places the organism in Eukaryota, Metazoa, Chordata, Actinopteri, Pleuronectiformes, Pleuronectidae. The transcript has a single exon. The record is from RefSeq and is a predicted model, not a curated record.
UACGCUUCUAAGCCUUUUGGCUAAGAUCAAGUGUAGUAUCUGUUCUUAUCAGUUUAAUGUCUGAUAUGUCCUCUAUAUAGGGAUGUUCUGUAUUAAGCAGAUUUUGGCAUGAGGCAGAAAUUUGGGCGCCUCCUUUCUCUCCCCACCACUUGCUCACGACCUAACAUUGCAGUGCCGCUGGGAACGGUGCCUCUAUU